This 155-nucleotide microRNA precursor is filed under the name Podarcis lilfordi (Lilford's wall lizard). The record is from RNAcentral. Lineage: Eukaryota; Metazoa; Chordata; Lepidosauria; Squamata; Lacertidae.
GAGCAUGAGGCAAUCAAGUUCAGUGUUAGAAAGUUCUCUCUCUCUCUCUCUCUCUCUCUCUCUCUCUCUCUCUCUCUCUGUGUGUGUGUGUGUGAGAGAGAGAGAGAGAGAGAGAGAGAGAGAACUUUCUAACACUGAACUUGAUAACUUUUCUG